RNAcentral lists this ribosomal RNA (253 nucleotides) under uncultured bacterium. Its description in RNAcentral is "partial 16S ribosomal RNA". It matches the Rfam family "Bacterial small subunit ribosomal RNA", at positions 524 to 776 of the family's 1533-position model. The record is from RNAcentral.
GACGGAGGAUGCAAGCGUUAUCCGGAAUGAUUGGGCGUAAAGCGUCCGCAGGUGGCAGUUCAAGUCUGCUGUCAAAGACCGGGGCUUAACUUCGGAAAGGCAGUGGAAACUGAACAGCUAGAGUAUGGUAGGGGCAGAGGGAAUUCCUGGUGUAGCGGUGUAAUGCGUAGAGAUCAGGAAGAACAUCGGUGGCGAAGGCGCUCUGCUGGACCAUAACUGACACUCAGGGACGAAAGCUAGGGGAGCGAAUGGG